RNAcentral lists this long non-coding RNA (211 nucleotides) under Mytilus galloprovincialis (Mediterranean mussel). The record is from RNAcentral. Lineage: Eukaryota; Metazoa; Mollusca; Bivalvia; Mytilida; Mytilidae.
AUAGGUCACCGUACGGCCUUCAACAAUGAGCAUAGCCCAUACCACAUAGUCAGCUAUAAAAGGCCCCGAUAAGACAAUGUAAAACAAUUCAAACGAGAAAACUAACGGCCUUUUUAUGUAAAAAAAAAAAAAAAAAUGAACGAAAAACAAAUAUGUAACACAUAAAUAAACGAGAACCACUGAAUUACAGGCUCCUGACUUGGGACAGGCA